Gallus gallus (chicken) is the source of this 1313-nucleotide long non-coding RNA. The record is from Ensembl. NCBI's taxonomy places the organism in Eukaryota, Metazoa, Chordata, Aves, Galliformes, Phasianidae.
CUUUAUUCGAGGCCAGCUCUGCAGGCUGCCCCGCACAGCUAUUCUGGUCGCUUCCUCUCCAAGUUCCUGUGAUUGUUGGGCUGGCAUUGUGUGAGACACCCGCCACGCUUCCUCCCAUGCUCGCUCACAGCUGGGAACAGCCUCCUCUGGCUCAUUUUCCUUUGUUCACUGAAGCAUCCUGAAGUCAUCCAACCUUUAACACCACUGUGGCCGAGCUCGGUGAUGGCAGCCCUGUGCUUUGCAGGCUGUUGGAGCGGCCUCCCACAGGAUGGUGAUGGGGCUCGUCACAGUGCAUGGGAUAACUCAGGGAUGUCUUUCUGCCACCCCACCCUCCCUAUCUGUCCUGCGAGGCUUUCCAGCCUCCUUCACGUCAGUGCAAAUGAGGCUGUGCAGCUCUGCGCAGUCCCUACAGACUUGGAGGGGAGAGGGAGGAGCAGUGCCAGGACUGCUAUCGCUGCGAGGGAGUGAACGCCCAGCAUCAGCCAGAUAAGGACCCGGGCUGAGGUUAGCAUUAAGCUCACUUUCUCAGCAGAUAGCAGGCAGGGGAGGUUGCAUCCCAUCAAUGAGAAGUGCCAUUCCAAGAAAGUCUAAAUCUGUCCUCUCCUUUCCAGAUCGAGUUGUGAUGCUUUUCAUUUUCUAAGUUUUGAGUUUGCUCUGAUGUCCAAUGACUGCCACAACCGUGGCCCAGCUGAGGACCUCACCCUGCCAAUUGCUGCUGUUUGUGCCAGGUGCUGGUGUUGUACCAGCUGUUGGUGUUGUACCAGGUGCUGGUGUAGUACCAGGUGUUGAUGUUGUGCCAGGUGCUGGUAUUGUGCCAGGUGUUGUUUUUGUACCAGGUGUUGGUAUUGUACCAGAUGCUGGUGUUGUACCAGAUGGUGUCGUGCCAGGUGAUCAUGUUCUACCAGAUGUUGGUGCAGUGCCAGGUGGUGGUGUUGUGCCGGAUAUUGGUGCUGUGCCAGGUGCUGGGGUUGUGCCAGUUGGUGGUGGUGUUGUGCCAGGUGGUGGUAUUGUACCAGGUGCUGGUGUUGUGCCAGGCACUGUGACACAGAGCCCACAGGGAGAUGGCCAACAGCAACACUUCACACGUGCUGGAGAUGCCCUGCAGGAUAUUUUCCAUUUGUCAUACACCAUAGUGCUUCCCUUGACUCAUUUUCCCCUCAUACCGACUUGCUGUUUCUUAAGGAGAAAGAAAGAAAACAGACAACUAUUAAGACUAAGAUUUCCCAAAUACCUUCUUUGAGACUUCUGGUGACGAUCAAGUGUAGCAUAACAUUAAAUAUUUAGUAUGUCCUCUCAAGAAGGAUUUGUUCUUU